RNAcentral lists this ribosomal RNA (508 nucleotides) under uncultured bacterium. Its description in RNAcentral is "bacterial SSU rRNA". It matches the Rfam family "Bacterial small subunit ribosomal RNA", at positions 8 to 525 of the family's 1533-position model. The record is from RNAcentral.
AGAGUUUGAUCAUGGCUCAGGACGAACGCUGGCGGUGCGCCUUAUGCAUGCAAGUCGAGCGAAGCUUUUCAGUAGUUUACUACAGAAAAUGACUGAGCGGCGAACGGGUGAGUAACGCGUGAGCAAUCUACCUUAGUUACAGGGAUAGCCCGAGGAAACUCGGAUUAAUACCCGAUAUUCUUUAUUUCUCGCAUGAGAAUAAAAGGAAAGGUCAGCCGAACUAAGAUGAGCUCGCGUUCUAUCAGCUAGUUGGUGAGGUAAAAGCUUACCAAGGCUACGACGGAUAGCUGGUCUGAGAGGACGAUCAGCCACACUGGGACUGAGACACGGCCCAGACUCCUACGGGAGGCUGCAGCAGGGAAUAUUGUGCAAUGAACGAAAGUUUGACACAGCGACACCGCGUGUGGGAUGACGGAUCUAGGUUUGUAAACCACUUUCAGGAGGGAAGAAAAUGACGGUACCUCCACAAGAAGCCCCGGCCAACUACGUGCCAGCCGCCGCGGUAAUU